RNAcentral lists this ribosomal RNA (1360 nucleotides) under uncultured bacterium. RNAcentral describes it as "bacterial SSU rRNA". It matches the Rfam family "Bacterial small subunit ribosomal RNA", at positions 28 to 1381 of the family's 1533-position model. The record is from RNAcentral.
GAUGAACGCUAGCUACAGGCUUAACACAUGCAAGUCGAGGGGCAGCAUUUCAGUUUUGCUUGCAAACUGGAGAUGGCGACCGGCGCACGGGUGAGUAACACGUAUCCAACCUGCCGAUAACUCGGGGAUAGCCUUUCGAAAGAAAGAUUAAUACCCGAUGGUAUAAUCAGACCGCAUGGUCUUGUUAUUAAAGAAUUUCGGUUAUCGAUGGGGAUGCGUUCCAUUAGGCAGUUGGUGAGGUAACGGCUCACCAAACCUUCGAUGGAUAGGGGUUCUGAGAGGAAGGUCCCCCACAUUGGAACUGAGACACGGUCCAAACUCCUACGGGAGGCAGCAGUGAGGAAUAUUGGUCAAUGGGCGCAGGCCUGAACCAGCCAAGUAGCGUGAAGGAUGACUGCCCUAUGGGUUGUAAACCUCUUUUAUAUGGGAAUAAAGUUUUCCACGUGUGGAAUUUUGUAUGUACCAUAUGAAUAAGGAUCGGCUAACUCCGUGCCAGCAGCCGCGGUAAUACGGAGGAUCCGAGCGUUAUCCGGAUUUAUUGGGUUUAAAGGGAGCGUAGGUGGACAGUUAAGUCAGUUGUGAAAGUUUGCGGCUCAACCGUAAAAUUGCAGUUGAUACUGGCUGUCUUGAGUACAGUAGAGGUGGGCGGAAUUCGUGGUGUAGCGGUGAAAUGCUUAGAUAUCACGAAGAACUCCGAUUGCGAAGGCAGCUCACUGGACUGCAACUGACACUGAUGCUCGAAAGUGUGGGUAUCAAACAGGAUUAGAUACCCUGGUAGUCCACACAGUAAACGAUGAAUACUCGCUGUUUGCGAUAUACAGUAAGCGGCCAAGCGAAAGCAUUAAGUAUUCCACCUGGGGAGUACGCCGGCAACGGUGAAACUCAAAGGAAUUGACGGGGGCCCGCACAAGCGGAGGAACAUGUGGUUUAAUUCGAUGAUACGCGAGGAACCUUACCCGGGCUUAAAUUGCAUUUGAAUAUAUUGGAAACAGUAUAGCCGUAAGGCAAAUGUGAAGGUGCUGCAUGGUUGUCGUCAGCUCGUGCCGUGAGGUGUCGGCUUAAGUGCCAUAACGAGCGCAACCCUUAUCUUUAGUUACUAACAGGUCAUGCUGAGGACUCUAGAGAGACUGCCGUCGUAAGAUGUGAGGAAGGUGGGGAUGACGUCAAAUCAGCACGGCCCUUACGUCCGGGGCUACACACGUGUUACAAUGGGGGGUACAGAAGGCAGCUACCUGGUGACAGGAUGCUAAUCCCAAAAGCCUCUCUCAGUUCGGAUCGAAGUCUGCAACCCGACUUCGUGAAGCUGGAUUCGCUAGUAAUCGCGCAUCAGCCAUGGCGCGGUGAAUACGUUCCCGGGCCU